This 407-nucleotide ribosomal RNA is filed under the name uncultured microorganism. Its description in RNAcentral is "bacterial SSU rRNA". It matches the Rfam family "Bacterial small subunit ribosomal RNA", at positions 509 to 917 of the family's 1533-position model. The record is from RNAcentral.
CAGCCGCCGCGGUAAUUCGUAGGGGGCGAGCGUUACCCGGAUUCACUGGGCGUAAAGGGGGUGUAGGCGGCUCGGUAAGUCGGGUGUGAAAUCCCACGGCUCAACCGUGGAAUUGCGCCCGAAACUGCCGAGCUUGGGGCCGGUAGAGGGAGACGGAACUGCCGGUGUAGGGGUGAAAUCCGUAGAUAUCGGCAGGAACGCCGGUGGGGAAGCCGGUCUCCUGGGCCGCGCCCGACGCGGAGGCCCGAAAGCUAGGGGAGCAAACCGGAUUAGAUACCCGGGUAGUCCUAGCCGUAAACGAUGCCCACUAGGUGUGGGGGAGUAUUUCCUCCGUGCUGUAGCUAACGCGUUAAGUGGGCCGCCUGGGGAGUACGCCCGCAAGGGUGAAACUUAAAGGAAUUGGCGGG